Molecule: transfer RNA, 84 nt
Filed under: Fasciola hepatica (liver fluke)
Lineage: Eukaryota; Metazoa; Platyhelminthes; Trematoda; Plagiorchiida; Fasciolidae
Rfam family: tRNA
About the family: Transfer RNA (tRNA) molecules are approximately 80 nucleotides in length. Their secondary structure includes four short double-helical elements and three loops (D, anti-codon, and T loops).
Source: Rfam by way of RNAcentral
GACCUCGUAGCUCAGCUGGUAGAGCACUCACGGUACUAAGGCGAGGGUGGCGACCAUGCGUGGGUUCGUAUCCCGCCGGGGUCA